CCCCCCUUCCCCUUCCCUUCCUGCACCCUGGGGAAAUCAAUUCUGGCUCAGCUCUCCAGGUGUAGCCCUCUGGAAAGCUGCUGUAAACCUCUUGUAGUUCCUCUCGAGCUGGCAAAACCUCUUUGGUUCCUCCUGCACCAGGUGCAGCCCUCCCUAAAGCUGGCAAAAACCUGUUGUGGUUCCUCUAAAGCUGCUGUAAACCUCUUGUGGUUCCUCUAGGGAUGGCAAAAACCUUUGUGUUCCUCCUGCACCAGGUGUAGCCCUCUUUAAAGCUGGUGUAAACCUGUUGUAGUUCCUCCUACACAAGCUGUAGCCCUCUCUAAAGCUGGUAAAAACAUCUUAUGGUUCCCCUGCACCAGGUGUAGCCCUCUUUAAAGCAGGUGUAAACCUGUUGUGGUUCUCCUGCACCAGGUGUAACCCUCUCUAAAGCUGGUGUAAGCCUGUUGUGGUUCCUCCUGCUCCAGGUGUAGCCCUCUUUAAAGCUGUGUAAACCUGUUGUAGUUCCUCCUGCACAAGGUGUAGCCCUCUCUAAAGCUGGUAAAAACCUCUUAUGGUUCUCCUGCACCAGGUGUAGCCCUCUUUAAAGAUGUGUAAACCUGUUGUGGUUCUCCUGCACCAGGUACCCCUCUCUAGAGCUGGUGUAAACCUGCUGUGGUUCCUCUAAAGCUGGCAAAAACCUGUUGUGGUUCCUUUAAAGCUGGUGUAAACCUGUUGUGGUUCCUCCUGAUCCAGGUGUAACCCUCUCUAAAGCUGGUGUAAACCUGUUGUGGUUCCUCUAAAGCCGACUAAAACUUCUUGUGGCUCCUCCUGCAGCAGGUAGCCCUCCCUAA
Molecule: long non-coding RNA, 830 nt
Organism: Pogoniulus pusillus (Red-fronted tinkerbird)
Lineage: Eukaryota; Metazoa; Chordata; Aves; Piciformes; Lybiidae
Exons: 2
Source: RefSeq, a predicted model, not a curated record